This 497-nucleotide ribosomal RNA is filed under the name uncultured bacterium. Its description in RNAcentral is "partial 16S ribosomal RNA". It matches the Rfam family "Bacterial small subunit ribosomal RNA", at positions 28 to 507 of the family's 1533-position model. The record is from RNAcentral.
GAUGAACGCUGGCGGCGUGCCUAAUACAUGCAAGUCGAGCGAACGGACGAGAAGCUUGCUUCUCUGAUGUUAGCGGCGGACGGGUGAGUAACACGUGGAUAACCUACCUAUAAGACUGGGAUAACUUCGGGAAACCGGAGCUAAUACCGGAUAAUAUUUUGAACCGCAUGGUUCAAAAGUGAAAGACGGUCUUGCUGUCACUUAUAGAUGGAUCCGCGCUGCAUUGGCUAGUUGGUAAGGUAACGGCUUACCAAGGCAACGAGGCAUAGCCGACCUGAGAGGGGGGUCGGCCACACUGGAAGGGAGACACGGUCCAGACUCCUACGGGAGGCAGCAGUAGGGAAUCGUCCGCAAUGGGCGAAAGCCUGACGGAGCGACGCCACGUGAGUGAUGAAGGUCUUCGGAUCGGAAAACUCUGUUAUUAGGGAAGAACAUAUGUGUAAGUAACUGUGCACAUCUUGACGGUACCUAAUCAGAAAGCCACGGCUAACUACGUG